CGGGUCCCUUCAGUGCUUCCUGGUUGUCUCCUCGUCAGCACAGAUGGAGAAAAUAACAAGACGACCAACAGGCUGAGCUGGACAGAGACCUUUCCUUUCAGCAUCCUGUGAGCCAGCCAGAAUGCGGAACUAAAGUGCGGGGCAGCUGCAUAUCCAGAACAGCCCUUUCAAGGCCCGUGUUCAAACAUCGUUAAGAAUUUCAAGAUGGCGACAGUGGAGCAUUAAACACAGCAUGGGCCCUUCUGGGCGCGGGCCACGUGACUCGUCUCAGCGAGCAGAGGAGGCAGCCUCUGGAGCCCCCCAGUACAUAGUUACACGUUCUAGUUGUGAGUGCCU
Equus caballus (horse) is the source of this 336-nucleotide non-coding RNA. The record is from RefSeq and is a predicted model, not a curated record. Lineage: Eukaryota; Metazoa; Chordata; Mammalia; Perissodactyla; Equidae.